UCAGUUCGGAUUGUAGGCUGCAACUCGCCUACAUGAAGUUGGAAUCGCUAGUAAUCGCGAAUCAGAAUGUCGCGGUGAAUACGUUCCCGGGUCUUGUACACACCGCCCGUCACACCACGAGAGUUUACAACACCCGAAGUCAGUGGCCUAACCGCAAGGAGGGAGCUGCCUAAGGUGGGGUAGAUGAUUGGGGUGAAGUCGUAACAAGGUACC
RNAcentral lists this ribosomal RNA (213 nucleotides) under uncultured bacterium. RNAcentral's name for it is "partial 16S ribosomal RNA". It matches the Rfam family "Bacterial small subunit ribosomal RNA", at positions 1288 to 1500 of the family's 1533-position model. The record is from RNAcentral.